Long non-coding RNA from Lycium barbarum (goji berry), 1482 nucleotides. RefSeq lists it as uncharacterized. The transcript has 2 exons. Lineage: Eukaryota; Viridiplantae; Streptophyta; Magnoliopsida; Solanales; Solanaceae. The record is from RefSeq and is a predicted model, not a curated record.
AUCUGUGAAUUUGGAGAUAGACAUCUUCCCGUCCAUCUUGAAAUUGGUCAAAUGAUUUUUUGUUUUGUUCACUUAAAAUUCUUUUCCUCUAGUAUAAUUUUCAUUUUUCAAGAAACUACUAUUAUUAUACUGAAGUUUAUUACACAGCUUGAUUUGUCUAGGAUACAAGUACUUACAUCAUUUUCUUUUAAGACAAAAAAAAAUACAUCAUAGAAUAUUAAGUUUUCAAAAACAUCCGAUCCAAUUACUUCCGUACUUUGCUAGUCAUCUGCUACCUGGUUGCCUUGCUUGAAUAUAUGCUUUAAAUCCAAACUUCCUGCCUAAGCAUUAACCGCCUGAAAUCAUUUUGAAUUCUUGGUUUUGGGAUUAGUUAUACUUCCCUUGAUGCAAGACCAAGGAAAGCAUAAGAGGAAAGAGUUUUUUCUGUUACUUAGUGAUUUGAUAUGAUUCGGAAAAUUUAGAACUAUAUACAGUAAAACUGCUAAGGAAAUCAGUAUGGAUACAGUAAGUACCUCAGAAAACAAAGCUGUUGUUGCUGGACAGAAUAAUAUUCUCUAUUCCUCGGCUUCUGCUAAAGACCUCAGAUUGUUUAAGAUGGACAGCGAGAAACACGAUGAUUCUUCUCCUUGAGGGGUUAUUGAAGCAUCUCCUUGACGGGUUAGUGAAGCAUGCAUCAGAAACCAGGAGAAUGGCUCCAGUUCUGCUAAAGCUAAAGCCUCAGGUUCUCAGCUCUGCUAGUCAAAUCCACGGAUGUCCUCUCGCUGACACAAGUUCUUCAUGUAGGAAAUCAAUCCGUGAUUUGUAUUGAUGUAUGAAAGUCAUUAUAUACAAAGUAGGUAUCUCACUAUCAGAAUGAUACUCGGCUAAAUUAUAGGACCUAAUUACUAUACAUAAAGAAGAGAAUAUUUACAAUAUUUAAAUAGACUAUUACAUAGUCUAUCACACCCCCGCAGUCGAAGCGGGAGGUUGUUGUACGCUUAGACUGUCCCUGAAAUCAUCAAAGAGCACACGCGGAAGACCUUUAGUGAAGAUAUCUGCGAUCUGGUAAUGGGACGGGACGUGAAGAACACGAACUUCUCCACGGACAACUUUCUCACGUACGAAAUGUAUGUCCAUCUCAAUAUGUUUAGUGCGUUGGUGCUGAACUGGAUUACCUGAUAGGUAUAUGGCACUAACAUUAUAACAAUAAACCAAUGUAGCUGUCCGGAUGGGACAACAGAGCUCCAAAAGAAGGUUGCGAAGCCAACAGGACUCAGAGACGACAUUAGCGUCGCCACGGUAUUCGGCCUCGCCACUCGACUUAGACAUAGUAGGUUGCCGUUUGGAUGACCAUGAGAGGAGAUUAUCAUCAAGGAAGACACAGUAACCUGAUGUGGAUCGGUGAGUGUCUGGACAACCACCCCAAUCUGCAUCUGUAUAAGAAACAAGAGAGGCAAUGGAGGAUUUGUACAGAUGGAGACCAAACUUAAUAGUACCUUGAAU